This 484-nucleotide ribosomal RNA is filed under the name uncultured bacterium. RNAcentral describes it as "partial 16S ribosomal RNA". It matches the Rfam family "Bacterial small subunit ribosomal RNA", at positions 30 to 507 of the family's 1533-position model. The record is from RNAcentral.
AUUGAACGCUGGCGGCAGGCCUAACACAUGCAAGUCGAGCGGAUAAAGGGAGCUUGCUCCUGGAUUCAGCGGCGGACGGGUGAGUAAUGCCUAGGAAUCUGCCUGGUAGUGGGGGAUAACGUCCGGAAACGGGCGCUAAUACCGCAUACGUCCUGAGGGAGAAAGUGGGGGAUCUUCGGACCUCACGCUAUCAGAUGAGCCUAGGUCGGAUUAGCUAGUUGGUGGGGUAAAGGCCUACCAAGGCGACGAUCCGUAACUGGUCUGAGAGGAUGAUCAGUCACACUGGAACUGAGACACGGUCCAGACUCCUACGGGAGGCAGUAGUGGGGAAUAUUGGACAAUGGGCGAAAGCCUGAUCCAGCCAUGCCGCGUGUGUGAAGAAGGUCUUCGGAUUGUAAAGCACUUUAAGUUGGGAGGAAGGGCAGUAAGUUAAUACCUUGCUGUUUUGACGUUACCAACAGAAUAAGCACCGGCUAACUUCGUG